This 173-nucleotide ribosomal RNA is filed under the name Myersglanis blythii. RNAcentral's name for it is "partial 12S rRNA". Lineage: Eukaryota; Metazoa; Chordata; Actinopteri; Siluriformes; Sisoridae. The record is from RNAcentral.
CACCGCGGUUAUACGAAAGACCCUAGUUGAUACAUACGGCGUAAAGGGUGGCUAAGGAAAUAUAAAAUAAAGUUAAAGACCCUCUAAGUCGUUAUACACACCCCGAAGGCACGAAACCCAUACACGAAAGUGACUUUAAACCAUAAACACCUGACCCCACGAAAGCUAAGAAA